Non-coding RNA from Pelobates cultripes (western spadefoot toad), 231 nucleotides. The record is from the annotation of a GenBank genome assembly. NCBI's taxonomy places the organism in Eukaryota, Metazoa, Chordata, Amphibia, Anura, Pelobatidae.
UUGGUAUUCAAAAUAAGCCUCUGACGUUUUAUUCAUCAGCUGGGUUUUAUACAUUAAAAAGUAAAUGCUUACUUGCAAAUACUCUUAGAACAGUAAUAGGAAGGGAGUACAGAUAAGGGAUGAGCGUCAUGUAUACAUAACAAAUAAGUUUCAAAGUAAGAGAGAACAAAAAGAUUAGAGCAGAGACAUCUUAGGUGGGGGCUCUCUGCUCCCGGAACUUAGACAUAUAUG